Transfer RNA from Ovis aries (sheep), 73 nucleotides. It matches the Rfam family "tRNA". From Rfam's summary of the family: Transfer RNA (tRNA) molecules are approximately 80 nucleotides in length. The record is from Rfam. Lineage: Eukaryota; Metazoa; Chordata; Mammalia; Artiodactyla; Bovidae.
UCCCCGGUGGUCCAACGGUCAGGACACCAUGCUUUUACUGCCAAGGGCCCAGGUUCAAUCCCUGGUCGAGGAA